Molecule: ribosomal RNA, 1348 nt
Filed under: Vibrio comitans
Lineage: Bacteria; Pseudomonadati; Pseudomonadota; Gammaproteobacteria; Vibrionales; Vibrionaceae
Description: bacterial SSU rRNA
Rfam family: Bacterial small subunit ribosomal RNA
Source: RNAcentral
AUUGACCCUUCGGGUGAUUUGUUGGGCGUCGAGCGGCGGACGGGUGAGUAAUGCCUGGGAAAUUGCCCUGAUGUGGGGGAUAACCAUUGGAAACGAUGGCUAAUACCGCAUAACGUCUACGGACCAAAGAGGGGGACCUUCGGGCCUCUCGCUUCAGGAUAUGCCCAGGUGGGAUUAGCUAGUUGGUGAGGUAAUGGCUCACCAAGGCGACGAUCCCUAGCUGGUCUGAGAGGAUGAUCAGCCACACUGGAACUGAGACACGGUCCAGACUCCUACGGGAGGCAGCAGUGGGGAAUAUUGCACAAUGGGCGCAAGCCUGAUGCAGCCAUGCCGCGUGUAUGAAGAAGGCCUUCGGGUUGUAAAGUACUUUCAGUCGUGAGGNAANGGCNGUUGAANGUUAANUAGCUUCAUCGUUUGACGUUAGCGACAGAAGNAAGCACCGGCUAACUCCGUGCCNAGCAGCCGCGGUAAUACGGAGGGUGCGAGCGUUAAUCGGAANUUACUNGGGCGUAAAGCGCAUNGCAGGUGGUUUGUUAAGUCAGAUGUGAAAGCCCGGGGCUCAACCUCGGAACCGCAUUUGAAACUGGCAGGCUAGAGUACUGUAGAGGGGGGUAGAAUUUCAGGUGUAGCGGUGAAAUGCGUAGAGAUCUGAAGGAAUACCAGUGGCGAAGGCGGCCCCCUGGACAGAUACUGACACUCAGAUGCGAAAGCGUGGGGGAGCAAACAGGAUUAGAUACCCUGGUAGUCCACGCCGUAAACGAUGUCUACUUGGAGGUUGUGGCCUUGAGCCGUGGCUUUCGGAGCUAACGCGUUAAGUAGACCGCCUGGGGAGUACGGUCGCAAGAUUAAAACUCAAAUGAAUUGACGGGGGCCCGCACAAGCGGUGGAGCAUGUGGUUUAAUUCGAUGCAACGCGAAGAACCNUUACCUACUCUUGACAUCCAGAGAACUCGCUAGAGAUAGCUUGGUGCCUUCGGGAACUCUGAGACAGGUGCUGCAUGGCUGUCGUCAGCUCGUGUUGUGAAAUGUUGGGUUAAGUCCCGCAACGAGCGCAACCCUUAUCCUUGUUUGCCAGCACGUAAUGGUGGGAACUCCAGGGAGACUGCCGGUGAUAAACCGGAGGAAGGUGGGGACGACGUCAAGUCAUCAUGGCCCUUACGAGUAGGGCUACACACGUGCUACAAUGGCGCAUACAGAGGGCGGCCAACCAGCGAUGGUGAGCGAAUCCCAAAAAGUGCGUCGUAGUCCGGAUUGGAGUCUGCAACUCGACUCCAUGAAGUCGGAAUCGCUAGUAAUCGUGAAUCAGAAUGUCACGGUGAAUACGUUCCCGGGCCUUGUACACACCGCCC